UGCUGAGGUCCCAAUUCAUCACACGUUCC
RNAcentral lists this non-coding RNA (29 nucleotides) under Mus musculus (house mouse). The record is from RNAcentral. Lineage: Eukaryota; Metazoa; Chordata; Mammalia; Rodentia; Muridae.